UGGGAACGUACCCUUUGGUUCGGAACAACCCAGGGAAACUUGGGCUAAUACCGGAUAAGUCCGUAAGGAGAAAGAUUUAUCGCCAAAGGAUCGGCCCGCGUCUGAUUAGCUAGUUGGUGAGGUAAUGGCUCACCAAGCCUACGAUCGAUAGCUGGUCUGAGAGGAUGAUCAGCCACACUGGGACUGAGAUACGGCCCAGACUCCUACGGGGAGCAG
RNAcentral lists this ribosomal RNA (216 nucleotides) under uncultured bacterium. Its description in RNAcentral is "partial 16S ribosomal RNA". It matches the Rfam family "Bacterial small subunit ribosomal RNA", at positions 118 to 351 of the family's 1533-position model. The record is from RNAcentral.